GAACGAACGCUGGCGGCGUGGAUAAGACAUGCAAGUCGAACGCUAAUUUCAGGGUGGCAAUAUUCUGAAGUUGGAGUGGCGCAAGGGUGAGUAACACGUAAGUAAUCUACCUUCGAGUGGGAAGUAACGUUCGGAACGAACGCUAAUACCGCAUAAUGCAGCGGCGACCUAAUGGUGACAGUUGUUAAAGGAGCAAUUCGCUUGAAGAGGAGCUUGUCGGC
Molecule: ribosomal RNA, 221 nt
Filed under: uncultured bacterium
Lineage: Bacteria
Description: partial 16S ribosomal RNA
Rfam family: Bacterial small subunit ribosomal RNA
Source: RNAcentral